Molecule: long non-coding RNA, 2779 nt
Organism: Choloepus didactylus (southern two-toed sloth)
Lineage: Eukaryota; Metazoa; Chordata; Mammalia; Pilosa; Megalonychidae
Exons: 5
Source: RefSeq, a predicted model, not a curated record
GCCCCCCGCGGAUGGACCGACGGGGGUGGCGCGCAAACCCCGCGGCCCGGGGGACACCGCCUCCGGGCGGGCCGGGAGCGGGGCAAGGGGGAGCGUACCCCUACUUCCCUGGAUCACAUGGGCUGCGGGGGGCGGGCGGAUCGGGGUUGGGAGCGGCGCGGAGAGCUGGCCGCGGCUCGUAGCCCAGUCGGGGGAGAAUACGUCCCCUACUCCCUCUAAAACGGCCUCUCAACUCAAGUUCGCCGGUCCCUGCGGCCGGGAUCCGGGGAUGGCACCAGCCGCCCGCCCGGCUGUGCGCCCUGUUUCCAGCCACCGCACAGAAAUUUAGGUCAAGGACGUCGGGAACAAACCCAAACCCUGGUACUCCUCGGGCGAACCCUAAGACCCCCCCAGGAUCAGGGGGCCUUCAGGAUUGCGGAGACCCUCCCGCACAAACACCAGCCACAAGUUUUAUUUUCCUUUCGCGCUGGAAGUUCUCUCUGGCUCUCCCUCCACACCGGCACGUCCUCCGUGAUUCCCCGCCCUUCCCAGGCAGAGAAUCCGUGAUGGGCGACCAAGUCUGGAAACCGCUCAGCCAGCCUAACCCAUCUUGUUCUAUAACGAAGGAAACAGUCCCCAACAGAAGGGCCUUUUCUCAAGGUCAUGCAGCUGAUUAAAAGGAAAGCUGACUCCCGUAUUCUAGUCUAGUGUACGUGUCAUCAUUUUAAAACAUAAAGCCUCCUACCGCUUUUAGAAGACCUUGGUAAUUUUAGGGAAGCAGAUUUUGGAUUUUGUGUGCAGUUGUUUCAGGAGUGUGGGUUUUCUGUUUUGCUUUGUGCGUGGAUAGCACAGCACGGAGGAAAUUAAGGCUUUCUGCCUGAUGUCUCACUAGUUAGCAGGUAGUCUCACCUGCCCCACCUGUAAAUAGAGUAUCAUGGUGGUUUUUAAAGAAGUCCACCGAUUCUUUAAUACUUCUCCAAGAGGUGGAGCCUCAAGCUCCUUCCCUUGAGUGGGGGCUGUACUUAGUAACUGGCUGCUAAUGAACAGAAAGUGGAGGAAAUGACUGUGAAUUUUAAGGCUAGGUGAUUAAAGACAUGUGGUGUCUGCUUUGCUCUCCCCCGGACCCCUUGCUCUGAGAGAAGCAGCUGCCAUGUCAUGAGGACACUGAACCAGCCCUACGGCGCAGCCCACGUGAGGAAGAACGGAGGUCUUCGGUUAACAACCCAUGGUGAGCCAGGACUGUGAGUGAGACACCUCAGGAGCAAACGCUCCAGCCUCAGCCAAGCCUUCAGACGGCUGCCCCAGCCAACAUCUUCACACAGCCUCAUGCAGGCCCUUGAGCCAGAACCACCCAACUAAGCCACUGGCAGUUCCAGACCCGCAGAUGCUACAGGAGAUGCUCCUAACCUAAGGCAUGAUGACGCUAACACACUGACAAACAGCAAAAAAAGCCAUCCAGGUUACGAAGUUAUUAAACCCGAAUUUAGCCUAAAACUUCAUCCUGAAUGCUUCCUGGAGCCAAGUCACGCCUAGAACGAAACAACCUGAAGGCGCACCAACCAAAGAAUGGAUAAAUUGUGGUAUGUUCAUACAGUGGAAACAUACAGCAACAGAAAAGAAUCUCAGACAUAACGAGGUUGAUGCCUGUAAGUGACAUAGCCGAGACUUUGCAAGGUGUAACAGCAACCCCAGAACCCAGUGUUCAUGGUGACACCCUCCUAGGACCAGCCAUCCCUCCCGUACCUAACAAGACCCCGAGGACCAGAGGGGAAGUGGUGGAAACCAACACUGGAAGCUCUGACCCCAGGCCCAGCAUGCACCUCUCUCCUUUACCCCAGCAAAAGGCUGACACAUUCCCAAAUCUCUCUCCAGCACUGGCUUCACCCUUAAGAUGCACCCAGGAUGUCCCACGGCUAACUCAAAGGACACAUGAAAGUGCACCAAAUUCUAGGACAGUAGAGCGAGACCUCCAUUAAUCCACUCCUCCAUAAAAGUAAUGAAAAUACUGGCAAAACGGUCAAAACCAACUUUCUCAGGACGCAAAGUUAACCAAAGGCUUUCAACAAUCUGCGGAGCAUUUGUUCAAAAUGUAGUCACCUUUUACCAACCUCCGUGUCACUUUUCCUCCCAUAUACCAAAUCCUGUUUAAUGGACCGAUCCUUGAAGGAGAGAACCCUAAAAGGUGACUUGUCUUCUUCAUCUCCUCUAUCCCCACCUGAGGACUUCAAGGAUCUGGCUCUGACACGGGUCAUCCACCCCGGGUCACCAUCCUGGAGGAAGCCCUUCUGUGGCGUCUGGGCUGCCUGGGCUUCUCCUCCCUCCCCUUGCACCAGAAUCGUGUUGUUACCUGUGACUUACCCUCUGGCUCUCAAUGGCUCCCUGGAGACACAGGCCAAUCUGCAGAGCAGGCUUCUGUAAGCUUUCUCCCAGACCACUCUGCCCGGCUCCCAGGGACCCUUUCAGGCUCCAGCGAUGCCAAGAUGUACAGCAGUGUGAUUUGGCCAAAGUCACACCCCAGCCCUGCUAGGACUGAGUGCUAAGGGCAGCUAAGACUGCAUGGGCACGCCCUGUGGGCCAAGCUCCAUACAAGCAGGUGGCAUUUCUAUGAUCUCAUUUAAUGGCCUUAAGAAGUAGGUACCAUUACCUAAUUUUACAUGAGGAAACAGGCUUUUAACCACUUAUCAGCCUCGUAGGUGAGACUCAACCCAAUCCAGCUCAGGCUUGAGACACCACAGCCGUUGGGCAGAGCAGUGAGAAGAGUGACAGAGGUCUGCUGGAUGGGACCAGGAGAAGCUCCAGG